This 5827-nucleotide long non-coding RNA is filed under the name Sus scrofa (pig). RNAcentral's name for it is "lncRNA (ENSSSCG00060073913.1)". The record is from RNAcentral. Lineage: Eukaryota; Metazoa; Chordata; Mammalia; Artiodactyla; Suidae.
ACACUAUUCUAGGCAGUGGGGAUGCAACGGUGAAGCCGAGGACAAGGCCCCCAUGCGAAGGAAACAGGGAGCAGAUCUGCAGAGAUGAAAUGCCAGGGUUGGCCGGGAAUUCCAUACCCGACCUGAAUCCAUAUCUACCGGACCCCACAUCCGCCGUCCGACCCAAUGAGGGAGAUAAUAGUUGGCACCGAUGCUCUUUCCUCAUGAUCACAAAAUGGCUAUUACCGUUAUGAACGUACAUCUUUAUGCCACGAUCUCCAGGAGUAGAGAGAAGAAGAGAAAUGGAGUGGAGUGGUUAAGAGCAGUGAAUCUGAAGCCUGAUCGCUUGAGGUUGAAUCCUGGCUAGCCCAAUGACCUUGGCCAAGUUCCUAAACCUCGGGCCGCACCUGUGGCACAUGGAAAUUCUCAGGCUAGGAGUUGAAUUGGAGCUAUAGCUUCUGGCCCACAUCUGCAAUUCAUGCCAACGCCAGAUCCCUAACCCACUGAAUAAGGCCAGGGAUCAAACCUGCAGCCUCAUGGAUACUAGUUGGAUUUGUCACCGCUGAACAACAAUAGGAACUCGCAUUUUUAGACCAGGACCCACAUACAGUGGUUCUCUCUUGCUCUUUGCACCUAGGGAUAACGGUGGAAUGUCCCAUGACUUCUUUAUGAGGUCAGAUACGCUUUAACAUCUUGAGCCUUUCAAAGUGCUUCCCUCAGUCUGGACUGAAGCCUGACCAACACUGGCAGAGAUGGGCCUUUUGGGAAAAUGACAGCGAAAGUCUCAUGGACGCAGACUGAAAGAAGUCAAGGCUGCUUUUCUGUCCUUCCUAUCAUGUUGUCUGGCUUAGAUUUUGGUUAGGAAAUUUUAGUUAGAACCAAAAUCAGUUCUGAGUCAGUGGAUUGGGCAUUUCUGAACCUCCCAUGCCUCUGUAAAAUGUGGUUAAUAAUAGCAUCACAUUUAAAGAUUAAUUUAUACAGUGCAUUUAAGAGUGUUUAGAACCAUACGGUAAGUUCUAAACAGUAAAGAGGAAGCACUGGUUUUCCCUACACAUUAUUCCAGAAGAAAGAGGGAUGUUCUGAGAUGGAGAUGAGAGAAUGAGCUAAAGGAUGUACCACUUACCUAAGGCCAGGAGGCAAGUCCUGGAGGAUGGAACUUAGAGGGUGUUUGGCUGACCCAGCCCAUCCAUCUAACUGGGGCGGCCACAUAGUUUUGGUGAAAAGCGCGUGAGAGUGGGAUCUUUGGUAAAUGGGGACUGAGACAUCAGUCCUGAAGGGUUGCUAGAUUAGCAAACUAGUGGAUAAAGCAUGUGAUUGGAACUUGGCACAUAGUAGGGGCUGGAUAAACAGUGCCAAUAAUAAUAGCCUUCUCUUACCACAGCUGGACCCCUUCCUCAGAGUGCUCUGAAUUCAGAGCCUUCCUCAAGCUAAGGAAAUGGCAGUUUGCUUGAAUACAAUGGUCUUUUUAAGGCAGCUCAGAUGUUUAUCUUAUUCUAAUAUUUACCCUUUUGAAUAGGAUUUUCGGGUGGCUUAUUUUUUAUUGCUCUAGGGAGUGGGGUUACACAGUGUUAAGCUUAAUAUCAACCUUUAAGUGAAAAAUGGAUAAAACUGAGAGAAAACCCGCUUCUGACCCAGGGGAGAAAAAGGCUCUGGUAAAAUCUGGCCUGGAUUCUUCUCCACAUCACCUUAGGGCCAGGGAGCCCAGGGGAAUACCUGGAAGUGGUUCAGAUUGGUUUGAACAUCUAUAAAGGUUUAGCAGGAACCCUCUCCAGUCCAAUGGCCAGGAGCAUCUGGAAUGUUCUAACAUCUGAUUGCCUAUUGGCAAUGGUGAUUUAUCCUAAGCCCAGAUAAAUUGCUCUGGAUUGAACCAGAGGUCACACCUCUCACUGCCAUGUGGUCUUAGGUCUGGCCAGCCUUCCAAUUUAAGUCUAAGUUAAAUCCUUCAUCAUUAAUUUUUUUUCCAUUUUGGCUAAAAUCAUCUUCAGGAAAUAGGACUUAAUGAUAACAGUGUCUUCAAGUAAGAAGGACAAUGACCAAAUAAGCCCUGUGGGUGUAGGAAUGUGUUCAGCUAUAAAUACUUCCCCUUAGCACAGAAGACUUCACAGUUGCCUUCAGAACCACCACCCCAAAUUUUCCCUUCAGGUAAGACUCAAGAGAGCAGGUAUGUAUAUUCAGACUAUCCAAAAGUUUUGGGUGUUUUGUCUUUAUCAUCACUGUCAAACAUCGGAUAUAUUUUUACUCAGUUAAUCCUCUCUCUCAAUAACUCUAUAAAGCAGGGUUUUACAGAUGAAGAAAUUGAGGCAUGAUGACGUUAGUUCAUUUUGGGAUUAAAUAGCUAUUGAGGGAGUUCCCGUCGUGGUGCAGCAGAAAUGAAUUUGACCAGGAACCAUGAGGUUGCAGGUUCAAUCCCUGGCCUCGCUCAGGGGGUUAAGGAUCCAACAUUGCCGUGAGCUGUAGUGUAGGUCGCAGACGAGGCUGCGAUCUGGUGUUGCUGUGGCUGUGGCGUAGGCCGGCAGCUAGAGCUCCGAUUAGACCUCCUAGCCUGAGAACUUCCAUAUCCGCAUGUGCAUCCUAAAGAAAAAAAGACAAAAGACAAAAAAAGAAAAAUACUAUUGAGAGACAGAGCCAAGGGUUUGAAAGAGUAUCUGCACAACUCAGAACAAUACUCCUCUUGGGCCAGUUUUUGGAAAUUAAGCACACUCUAGGUGGGUAGAAGUGGUGGGUUUAUUUCCUUCAGCAAGUUUUCACCAGGUUAGAGGGAUGGGACUUGCCAGAUGAGGUGAGGGGAGAAAGAUACUGCUUGUGUGAUUAGGAUUUAGGUUCCAGCCUGCAUUGUCUAUAAGGUACCAACUGAAAUUCUUUCGAUUUCCAACAUGCCAGUAGGCCAGGGGAACACUCGGCCACUUGCACUCCGCCUGCACAGUUCGAUUUGUUCUAGAUGAGGGAGCCAUGCAGAGAGGGUCCAGAGAGAAAAGACUAGAGUCGUGCCAGACAGUGGGCAUCUUUCUCCUCGGGGCCUUUCCUGGGAGCUGAAGCUGUGUGAAAAGAGAAGAUAGAUAGUAGCUGCCCAUGAGCUAAUGAGAAAAACAUCUCAAAGGGAUGCUUAGGUGUUGUAUGAGCAAGGCCCUCCUCCUCUGAACAUGAAAUUUCUCCAUUGGUGCUUAGAAAUUUCCCUUCAGCACAGAUUUGCUUAUUCUUGACCAAUCCAUAGUUGUCUAUUGAUUCUUGUGCUAUAAACAGAAACAGUUGCCUAGGAGUGCUAUCAAUUGUGUGUUAGUUUCUGAAGGUAAAUGGUUGCAAAAGCCAACUGAGUAAACAUUACCCUUACUAGAUGCCGUAAGUCCCCUAUCUAUACAUGAUUUGGGGUAGACUGCCUUUACUUCUUAGUGUUUCAGAAGCACUGGAAAAGACUAAAUGAAGGUACAGAAGGGAUGCCUACUUGCAGAGGUCUGGAGAUUAGCUGAUUCUUUCCUUAAAGAUACUGGAGGGAUCUAGGCCUAUUUGGGGCCUAUUGGGUUGGAGGUGCCCCAAGACCUCUGGUUGGAGCUGUCCAGCACAGAGCUGUGAACAGGGGAUGCAGGCUUAGUUCAGAGCUGGGGAGAGAGAGCUGGACCACGCAGUAGGAAUCAGCCACCCCUGCAUGUAGAAGGGCCUAGACAAGAAUGAGAAGACAUGUCAUUUUCUGCUCAGUUCUGUGGUGAAGUCUUCCUGUAAACUCAUCUCUAGGGUGUGAAUGACCUCAUCAACAUCCUUCCGCCUCUGAGAGAAGAGCUGCUGGAGACUCCUGGAUGUCUGGCCCAAAGCUGGAGGCUCUGAAAGGGCUGAGAGAUGAUUUGGAAGAUACCAUUUGACUGCUUUUUACUGACGUGACCAUAUGUCUACCCGGAGAUUGGAGACCUUGGACAGCUGGAGGAUCCAAGAUAACCUCCCUCCUCCUGUCUGGAUUCGCAGAAUAAAACCUUGUCAAAACAACAAAGGAAAAGUGGCCGGACUUCAGUUUAAGAGUUGGUUUAUGAGCACAACUCUGAAUGCAUGAUUUAAAAUGACAUUGGCUGGAGUUCCCGUCGUGGCGCAGUGGAAACGAAUCCAACUAGGAACCAUGAAGUUGCAGGUUCAAUCCCUGGCCUUGAUCAGUGGGUUAAGAAUCCGGCGUUGCUGUGAGCUGUGGUGAAGGGUCGCAGAUGUGGCUCAGAUCCCGUGUUGCUGUGGCUGUGGUGUAGGCUGGCAGCUGUAGCUCCAAUUUGACCCUAGCCUGGGAACCUCCACAUGCGGAUGUUUAUACUCUUUUCUUCAUCUUGGAACUAUCUAUUUGAUUUAAAGCUGAUCAAGACCAUGACAUAGAGAGAAAGAACCCAGACCAAUGAAGACAAGAGAGCUGCUCUUUGUGUGACGCAUUUCCUCACCCAGCCGCAGAUUGCAACAGAGGAGAUGAGAUAAAGAUGAGGAACCUCAACAGAAAGGAUGGAUGUAAACAGUGGGUUUGCUGUGCAGUGACAAGAGCCCAGCUUGGGAAGGGUGUUGAGUGGGGUGAAGAUGUCACAGGAACUCACGAAAGCCAGAGGAGUUCACAGUUCAGAGAAGGUGGGUCUUCUAGCUGCUGAAGGCCACACAGCAACCCUUGUGGACAGUGAGGUCCAUUCUAAGGACCUGUUCGUGAAUCCAACUACUGAAGAGCCUUAACCAGUCUUCCCUCUGGGUUCUUUUCCUUUACAUUCCAUGAGUUGGAGAUGGACCGUCCUAGUGCAGUACUUGGAUGAAUGGCUGGAAUGAAAUGAUGCUUUUUCAGCUCCCAAGAGGAUGUAAAGGGCACAAGGUCACCUUUAUUGAACUGUUUUCCUGUUGGCCAUCCCUUCUGGGCCCCAAGUUCUGCAUUUGCAGCAUCUGGCACAGUGCUGGGCACAUCCUGAGCUUGAGAAAAGCUGGACAGGCUCAGGAAACAGAAGGAGUUUUCUGGGAACAGACUGGAGAGGAGGAGCCAGUUAAAGUGACAAAAGGCACAAGUUUGAACUUCCUGUGUCCUGCGCCUGCUGCCGGAGCAGGGCUCUGAGCUGCCUCCAGAAUGGCCCACUGGUCAUGGGGGAAGUAAGAGAGAUUUGCUCACAGCAGGGCAUUUACUUAUAAGCUGGCCCACCCUGGGAUUUGGCCUCGAUGGUGGACAAUCUCCCUGCAUAAGGAAACCCUCUGCAGGGAACUCUUCCAAGGGAGAAGGAGACCAGCCAGACAAGCCUGGCCCGGGAUCAAAGCUCUGGGCCUCAGAGGGUGGGCUGAGUCGAGGAUGGGCUGGAUCUAACUUCUGGGUCAGCGCCAUGAGCAGCGCAGACCCAGCAUGACAGCGGGAUUGGGGGGGGCAGCACCCCUCCUCGUUGGCUCUUGGAACCUGGCCUUUUGGGCACCUGCCUAGGAGGUGUCAGAAACCAGCAGAGGCCAUGUGUGUGUGGUGGCCGCAGGGCUGGUCAUGCUCCAGGGGGUGGGAGGAGGCCUGGGAGGUGGGGCUGGUUUCUCAGAGACCCAGGACACUUGUUUCAAAAUCGGACGGAAAAAAAAAUGAACUUCUAAGACACAAAAGGUCACAUGCUGCAUGAUUCCAUUUAUAUGAAAUAUCCAGAAUAGGAAAAUCCUAAGAGACAGAAGGUAAAUUAGUGGUUGCCAGAGUCUGGGGAGAAGGGGAGAGUGGGCAGCGAUUGCUAAUGUGUUUGGGGUAUCUUGUUGGGGUGAUUAAAAUGUCCUGAAUUAGAUUGUGGUGAAGGUGGCACAAUCUUGAGACUAUACUAAAAACCACUGAAUUGUAUAUUUUAAAAUGGUCUACUUUAUGGCAUGUGGAUUAUAUCUCAAUAAAGCUAGUUGUUUU